Molecule: ribosomal RNA, 253 nt
Filed under: uncultured bacterium
Lineage: Bacteria
Description: partial 16S ribosomal RNA
Rfam family: Bacterial small subunit ribosomal RNA
Source: RNAcentral
UACGGAGGGAGCUAGCGUUGUUCGGAAUUACUGGGCGUAAAGCGCACGUAGGCGGCUAUUCAAGUCAGAGGUGAAAGCCCGGGGCUCAACCCCGGAACUGCCUUUGAAACUAGGUAGCUAGAAUCUUGGAGAGGUCAGUGGAAUUCCGAGUGUAGAGGUGAAAUUCGUAGAUAUUCGGAAGAACACCAGUGGCGAAGGCGACUGACUGGACAAGUAUUGACGCUGAGGUGCGAAAGCUAGGGUAGCAAACGGG